RNAcentral lists this ribosomal RNA (316 nucleotides) under Picochlorum sp. RCC944. Its description in RNAcentral is "partial Eukaryotic large subunit ribosomal RNA". It matches the Rfam family "Eukaryotic large subunit ribosomal RNA", at positions 640 to 958 of the family's 3401-position model. The record is from RNAcentral. Lineage: Eukaryota; Viridiplantae; Chlorophyta; Trebouxiophyceae.
UUAAACGACCCGUCUUGUAACACGGACCAAGGAGUCUAACAUCUAUGCGAGUGUUCGGGUGUCAAACCCCUACGCGUAAUGAAAGUGAACGGAGGUGGGAACCCGCAAGGGUGCACCAUCGACCGAUCCUGAUGUCUUCGGAUGGAUUUGAGUAAGAGCAUAGCUGUUGGGACCCGAAAGAUGGUGAACUAUGCCUGAAUAGGGCGAAGCCAGAGGAAACUCUGGUGGAGGCUCGUAGCGGUUCUGACGUGCAAAUCGAUCGUCAAAUUUGGGUAUAGGGGCGAAAGACUAAUCGAACCAUCUAGUAGCUGGUUCC